Molecule: small nuclear RNA, 102 nt
Filed under: Dasypus novemcinctus (nine-banded armadillo)
Lineage: Eukaryota; Metazoa; Chordata; Mammalia; Cingulata; Dasypodidae
Source: RNAcentral
AUGCUCAUUCUAGCACAACAUCUAUGCUAAAAUUGGAACACUACAGAGAAGAUUAGCAUGUCCCCUGCAUCAAAGUCGGGAUGUUAUUUGAGGGACAGUGUU